UCUGGGCAGCUGUGUCUGCAGCGGUUUCCAUGAGGCCACCUGGCCUCUGGAGAAGUGCAGACUACAGCAGCAGUGCUGGAUUUGUUAUGUGUUGUGUAUUAUAACUGCUAAGAGAAACCCCGAGCAGCUGAGGGGCAAAAAACUAAAAGUUUAUUGCAGUUGCUCUUUUAAAUGUUCUGCAAAGCUUUUUUUGACCGUUGAGUCAGAUUGUUUAGUAUGACAAAAAUAUACCGGCUGUCAGCAAGUAUCUUCUUUCAGCAAGAGCUUUUACAGGAAAUCUCAAAGUUUCUGCUAUUUUGACUAGUUCCAUGAUUUCAAUAAAAGGGAACUUUGCUGUCGCAAGUGCGAGGUUUUAAAAAAGAAAAAAAAAAAAAAGUGACAUGCACUCACUUGCUACACGGACCUCUACUGAAAAGGUCACCCUCGACGCUGCAGCCUUGACUGUAUCUGCAGAUCAUGUCUGGUAACAGCACUGAAGACGGAGGAAAUGCUGCAGGCGGUUCCUCUGUAGGUCUGGCGCUGGGGCUCACGUUUUUCUUCCUGCUCCUUGUGAUCAUAGCUGGUCUGAUCACUUAUAAGUACUACCCUAAAAUCAGGCGUUUGGUGAAUUUUGCACGGAGAGAAAGCCAGGGAAAGGAGGAAUGUACCGUGAGUCCACAAGCUGGAAGCCAUCACUAUACCAGUGUGACCCUAGAGCCCGAUCACACGUCAGCGGUGCAGACACCCGUCUAUGAGAACCUGACGGCCCAAGCUGCUGCUGCCAAAACAUCUGCUGCACACCCAAGAAAGUCAUCCGUUCAACCUGAGGAGGAUUGGUACAUGCAGAGCGAUACAACAGAUGACCCCAUAUACAACAACUGUACUGCGUUUAAGCCCAGCCCCCCGGACCCGCAGGAUGAGGACGUGUACAUUGUCCCAGAUUCAUAGGACAUGUUUUCAUCACUUCACUGGGAAAACUGAGCCGCAUCCUUGGCUUUGCUGUCUGGAUGUGUUCAACUAGGAAGUCCCGUCAUGCCGCUGCACCUGCAGCUCUUAGUGUCUAUUCAGUUUUUUCUAUUGAAGCAUUUCAUUAUUACAAAUGUCACCGGUAAAGUUAUGAAAUUAGGCAAAAGUCAUUGCUCGUGUGUUGAAUAUCUAAGUUUAUGGUAUGAUAAGAGGAUGUCUUUUCUUCGAGCACCUUUGCUGCAGGUAUUAGACAUAUCCUUCUUUAUUGGCAGGCCAAGGGGAUUGAUUUGCUGAUUAGAUAGAAAAUUGUCCUUUUGAUCAAUCUGAAAGGGCUGCUGAGUCACGUUCAUCUUGACCUCUCCAGCAGAAAACGGUGCUCAGUGCCUCAAGUUGCACACGUUUAGUGUUCUGAAGUAUUUGUACACAAGAGACACUGUGCUUUUUAAAUAUCGUUUAACAGAUAUAUUUAAAAUGAAUUUGCAAAUAAAAAGGACUUUUUUUUACCAACCUGAGGAUAUGAAAACAGAUAAUUUAGUCACUAGUCUCCUGUGUAGAUGAACAUAUGCCUCUACUGUCCAGACCAGGAGUCAUGUGUUCAUCCUCUGUCUACAGUUUAGAGAUCCAUUUUUGUGAUCAAAUAUUACUGUCAAUAUUAUUUUCAUCAUGUUGCAGCUUCCCGUAGGCGACCUUUACUGAUGUAACAGCGGGUUACAAGGAUUUCGCCGUGUUACUUUGAAAUGGAUGCCGAGAGUUGAAUUUACAAUCCGAGUCGUCUAACAUUUGAUAAAGUGUUGUUGCUCUCCGGCCCGGCGGCCUGCAGCUCCAACCCACCCUGGAGUUGUGUGACAUGCAGCAACUGAAGUUGUAAACCAACAAAACCAAACUAUGUAGAAAAAAAGCAGUUUGUAAUGUCACUUUUUUUAGAGAGGGCAUCCACCCAGGCUGUGUUUCUUGAGUUUGGACUGAUUAAGUUGAGCUCUAAGACGACGACUGCUGAAGCUCCAGAGGCCCCUGCUUUAAGGGGGACUCGUCUUUCUGACUUUUCUUCACAAACUAUGAGAGAAUUCAAAAGUAAAGGUUAAAAGUUUAUGUUGUAAAUAUAGAUUUACAAAGAGAUGGAUAGAAACUUAUCUUACGUUGAUCAUUUUAGAACGACAGGUUGAAGAGUCUCUAUCUCCUCCAUAAACAUCUUUUGUUUGUUCCAGUCAUCCUCAAAACAGAGUGGAAAAACAGAUAAACCGCUGAGUGGAGCUUAACUUAUUUAUUGUUUCUUAAGUUUAACUUGAGCAACAAUAAAUACAGUUACUUCCACCUCUGUUUGUUUCUGAUUUGUUUAUUGCACUAACCCAAGGUCCCUCAGUUCAGCCUUUCAUACGAUCACUUUAUUAACUGGAGAACACUACAUCCAUGUUUCAGUUAACUUUAUCCAUUCAAAGAUAAAAACUAUGAAGUACAAAGAGUUGGUGGUGUCAUUAAACUGCAAUCUAAAAAGGUUUGCUACUUGUUUCUGUUUACUCACAGCAGCAGGUGUCUUUAUGCUGCUUACUUUGUUUUUUUCCUUGAGCUUUGACAUUUUUCCCCAACUUUCUUUCAAUUUGUGAUUUUUUUCAAGUGUUUUCAGCCAUACAAGAACAUUUCUUACAAAUAAAUGAUUUCACCAGGACUAAA
Cololabis saira (Pacific saury) is the source of this 2613-nucleotide long non-coding RNA. RefSeq lists it as uncharacterized. The record is from RefSeq and is a predicted model, not a curated record. NCBI's taxonomy places the organism in Eukaryota, Metazoa, Chordata, Actinopteri, Beloniformes, Belonidae. The transcript has 3 exons.